AUCUAGACAAGAAAGAUUCAUAUUUAUCCAAAACCUUUAAGUGCAUUUACUUCCUAUACAUAAUCCCCUUGUCAUGUUCUGCCAUGGACUCUCCCAAACUUCCUGCUAAAAAAAAGCACCCUAAGAAAAAUCGGUCCAGCGACUAUUUUUUACCCUCGUUGAAACGAAAUAAAAAAUAUCUUAAAAGAAAGAAUUUAUCUCUGAAAGCCGUGAAUGAAUCACUGAAGAGCCUGGAUAUUCAUCCUUUAAACAAAAUUGAAAAAGGAAAUCAGGUUGAAACAUGUCAAUUCAUAGAUCAAGAAUUAAAAAGUCAAGUUCGGCAGUCUCAAAAUGGUGUGCCUGAAGAGCCCAAAUCAAGAGGUGCAUUAAUAAGAAUUCAAAAAUUACAGCGUAGAAAUUGGCUAAAAUCUAAUCUGUCAAAAAACCCGAGAUCUAAAAUCCGUUGUGCUCGAGAAAAGAAGGAACGGAGAAAUAUCGUUAGAAAUCUUAGGAAACAGGAGAAAGAAUGGGAUGCCAAAUGCCAUAAUGAAUUAAAAAUAUUUGACGAAAGCCAGCAGGCCCAUUCGCAACAAACCGCUGUAGACAAUUUGCUUGCAGAGAGUGACUGGAACCAACUGAACUGCGACUUUUCAAAAUGGAAUGUUUUGUAAAGGUGCGUACGUAGUUUUGCAAGAGGUUCCUUAAUCAACUCUACAAGCACGAAAUCUGCGCAUUUCCUUGCUUAAUAUGCACACGUAGAAUGGCGUACGAACGGGGUUGUGCAGAUACUGAAAAGAACUUUAAUUUGAUGUCUUAUGUAGAACAGCAUUUAAUACUAUAAAAAGCGGAUUGUAGCAGAAGAUGUGAAAAAGAAGGGUGUCCACAACACAGAAGAUUGAAGCAGAAAAGAUCAUGGCAAACUCGUGUGUGAAGAUAAUAGAUAUGUCUUGCGUAAAUGCUUAAAUUUGAGAGUAUCUGAAAUUAUUAAUUGGUGCUAUUCGCAGUUAAGAGUUUACUUGAUUAGCGCUUGUGUUCAGCGAUCCAUGGGACUGAGGUCCAUACCGCUGCUAGAUAAGCAAUUUCCAUGUAAACCGUUUAUUUACAAAAAAGAUAUAGGAUUUUAGUUUUAGUUUUCAUAGACUUGGCUUUAGUGUUAGGGCAUUAAAUGUGUUUAUAGAGAGACACAAUAAAUACGCAUGUCACGUAUACACAAUACAGAGAAGCUAUAAAAAGCUGU
Schistocerca gregaria is the source of this 1216-nucleotide long non-coding RNA. RefSeq lists it as uncharacterized. The record is from RefSeq and is a predicted model, not a curated record. Lineage: Eukaryota; Metazoa; Arthropoda; Insecta; Orthoptera; Acrididae. The transcript has 3 exons.